UUCGUAUAUUAUAUUAUUGAAAAACAGAAAUACUUGUGUUUUAUUUGUACAUUAAAAACUGUAUAAAAUUUAUGUACUGUUAGAAAAUCAAUUUUUUCAUGUGAUCUUAGUAUUUGAAAAAGUAUCGGCUAAUUUAAAUUUGAAUGCAACCUUAGUGAAUUUUAACUAACGAGGAUAAUAUCCUACACACGCAUUCGAACACAACCUAGCUUUCUGUAUGAUGCGUGAUGGAAAGUUUUCACUUUGAUAUGAUUUGCUGAAUGCGUUGCUAUUAAAAGUUGAAUGGACGAAUUCACAUAAUACCUAUAAAUAAUGGUCGAAUAUUUAAACAACUAAUAAUAUCACAUUCUAUUACUUCAUUUAUUUAAAAUUCAAUGUGAACACAGUUGCUAACGAUUAAGUUUUAUGAUAUGUUCGAAAUUUAAAAAUAACUAAGGGCUCGAAAUAGUGUAUAAUAAUUAAUGAUUAUUAGUCAUGUCCUAUUACGGCAUGUAGUGCAAACACAACAGAUACUGCACUAGCAAUUUUUUCUCUUUCAUUAGUCAUCUUGAUCUAUGAUCUUUUAUUUAUAUAUAUUGAUCUUACUUUUUUAUGAAGUUGAAAAGUUAAAGAAUUACUAUCAAGUUUUUGCUUAUUAAUGUUGUAUUGCAUUAUGUUAAUUUAUAAAAAAUAUAACAAGGAUUAUUUUUGUCAAAA
Molecule: long non-coding RNA, 696 nt
Organism: Bombus terrestris (buff-tailed bumblebee)
Lineage: Eukaryota; Metazoa; Arthropoda; Insecta; Hymenoptera; Apidae
Exons: 2
Source: RefSeq, a predicted model, not a curated record